This is a long non-coding RNA of Alexandromys fortis (reed vole), 296 nucleotides long. RefSeq lists it as uncharacterized. The transcript is spliced from 3 exons. NCBI's taxonomy places the organism in Eukaryota, Metazoa, Chordata, Mammalia, Rodentia, Cricetidae. The record is from RefSeq and is a predicted model, not a curated record.
UCAUGGUGCACAUGGCAUGUGUAUUUGUGCUCCUCCCCAGAAGGCACCACCAGAGAUGCCCACUUCUGGAAGGUUCCAUCCCCAGAAGGUCUGGUCUCCACCAGCUCCAUGUCCUGAGUCUGUUCCUCCUCCUCCCUCUGCCAGGUCAGGGUGAUGAAGGCAGGAUAGAAGCCCAUGGCCCAGCACCUCAGGGUGACUUCACCUUUAGGUCCAGGAUGAUGGGUCACAUGUGCCUUUGGGGGGUCUGUGUGGAAGAUUUAAGAAAUCCCACAAUUAACAAGAUAAACUGAAAUCUG